AGAGCUAGUCAAGCUCCAGCUCAGUCGCUAGCUGAUAUUGGUGGAGUACCAUCUUUGAGGGGCAUCCGGAAAGAUGAGAAGACAUUUUCCUAGCAUUUUUUCCUGCCCGCCCCAUUCUAUUGCCCAGCGAUCUCUUCCAUUUGGUCCUCUGAAUCGCAUUCAUAUCCUGCCUUCUCAGCCUGCCUGCAUUCAGGCUUGUCACCAGGCCAACCCUCUUUCUGCCUUCUGCCCUAUCUCCUUUCCCCCUCUGAAGAAUACUUCAUUCUAUCCUACCUUAGUGAUCUCCAUGCCCAGCUCUUCCUGUCUUACUAAACUUUCGUUGAAGCACCAUGUUCCCUUUGAACCUCCUGCCCAUUUUACCUCUAAGAAAAGAUCUCCUCCUACCAGUUCUCUAUCCUUUAGCCCUCACCAAAAACCUAGCCACUUUUAGGCACACAGUUGCUUUAAGAAGAACCAUUCUCACGACUGGACCGACACUCAAGGAAAUGGACAAAUUACAGGGCCCAUGGUGAACAACAUCAGGACUGCAGGAUUUCUGAGGAACUACAAUAUCCCAAAUGACAUCACUGUCUAAAAAGCUAAAAUACUGACACGUAGAGAACAUUACAAAUAGUCUAUCUUUGAGUAUCCCUUUUUUUGGUGUGUUGAAUAAAAAGUGAACAGUGUCCACAGAAA
Rattus norvegicus (Norway rat) is the source of this 675-nucleotide long non-coding RNA. RefSeq lists it as uncharacterized. The record is from RefSeq and is a predicted model, not a curated record. NCBI's taxonomy places the organism in Eukaryota, Metazoa, Chordata, Mammalia, Rodentia, Muridae.